This 73-nucleotide transfer RNA is filed under the name Thermoplasmatota archaeon. Its description in RNAcentral is "tRNA-Ala". It matches the Rfam family "tRNA". Rfam says of the family: Transfer RNA (tRNA) molecules are approximately 80 nucleotides in length. Their secondary structure includes four short double-helical elements and three loops (D, anti-codon, and T loops). The record is from RNAcentral. Lineage: Archaea; Methanobacteriati; Thermoplasmatota.
GGGCCAGUAGAUCAGUUGGCAGAUCGCCACCUUGGCAUGGUGGAGGCCAGGGGUUCAAAUCCCCUCUGGUCCA